This 327-nucleotide unclassified non-coding RNA is filed under the name Hevea brasiliensis (rubber tree). The record is from RNAcentral. Lineage: Eukaryota; Viridiplantae; Streptophyta; Magnoliopsida; Malpighiales; Euphorbiaceae.
GUGCAUUUCUCCUUGUAACUCUUGAUGAACAACUAGACCCAUCUGUGGAUUCACAAAGAUUUGGGUUUUGAAGGUAUGAAUUCGAAGACACAGUUCUGAAAAAUGGUGUUACAGGAAUAGGACCUGAAAAGUUGUUGCAAGAGAUAUUAAGGGAAGUGAGGCUAGUAAGAGAACCAAGAACAUUAAUCUUUCCAUAAAGCAAAUUAUGAGAAAGAUCAAUUGAUUGCAACAGGGUCAAACUCGACAUUGUCUCAGGGAGUUCUCCAUUAAAUGCAUUUGAGCUCAAGUCCAAACUGAUGGUUAAGCUAGUCAAAUAACCAAUUUCUG